This 68-nucleotide transfer RNA is filed under the name Craugastor andi. RNAcentral's name for it is "tRNA-Val". It matches the Rfam family "tRNA". Rfam says of the family: Transfer RNA (tRNA) molecules are approximately 80 nucleotides in length. Their secondary structure includes four short double-helical elements and three loops (D, anti-codon, and T loops). Further hydrogen bonds mediate the characteristic L-shaped molecular structure. tRNAs have two regions of fundamental functional importance: the anti-codon, which is responsible for specific mRNA codon recognition, and the 3' end, to which the tRNAs corresponding amino acid is attached (by aminoacyl-tRNA synthetases). tRNAs cope with the degeneracy of the genetic code in two manners: having more than one tRNA (with a specific anti-codon) for a particular amino acid; and 'wobble' base-pairing, i.e. permitting non-standard base-pairing at the 3rd anti-codon position. The record is from RNAcentral. Lineage: Eukaryota; Metazoa; Chordata; Amphibia; Anura; Craugastoridae.
CGAAGUAUAGCUUAAGUAAAGCACCUUGCUUACACCAAGAAGAUGUCCGCCACACAAACUACUUCGAG